UCCCUGAGGACUAGCGGUUAGGCCUCGGUGCUGUCACCGCCGUGGCCUGGGUUCGAAUCCCGGCCGGGGAA
This is a non-coding RNA of Pangasius djambal, 71 nucleotides long. The record is from the annotation of a GenBank genome assembly. NCBI's taxonomy places the organism in Eukaryota, Metazoa, Chordata, Actinopteri, Siluriformes, Pangasiidae.